UGGCUCAGCGGUUGAGAGCACUGACUGGGUUCCAGAGGUCCUGGGUUCAAAUCCCAG
This 57-nucleotide transfer RNA is filed under the name Rattus norvegicus (Norway rat). The record is from Rfam by way of RNAcentral. Lineage: Eukaryota; Metazoa; Chordata; Mammalia; Rodentia; Muridae.